GGACAGCAAUGAGAAGAAGAAGAAAAAAAGAAAAGAAGUGUGCGUCUCAUGUUCUGUACAGAAGGAGGAAGAGGAGGAAGAUCACGUCAGCUGCUUGUUGAGCACAGCCUGAGGCGCGUCUGAUGGGUGGUGAGGCGUUCAGACUGUCGGUGAAAGCAACAUCUGGAUGGAUGGAUAGAAAAACAAACAUUGUGAGACAUUCAAGUACAUGCAACAGUGCAAUUAUUUUCAUCAUUCCCUCAGCAGCUCCAAAAGUGGGCGAUAUGAGUAAGUACUACAUAAUAAAGGCGGUACAAACGAAUUUAAACAUAGAAUAAAUAAAGGUAAACAUUUUUUUCCCAGAUUGUCCCAGAAGGCAACAGUUGUCGAUGGAGAGAAAAAUGUAAAAAACAAAUUGAUAAAGCAUUGUGAAACCUUCACGUACAUUCAAAAGUGUCAGUUAUUCCAUCAACAUCUUAACUUUGUAAAAGUGUUCAUCUGUGUUUGUGUGUUUACGUUUAUAAUUUCAGAUUGUCCCUGACAGCGAUACGGCACGAUCGCUCAACGUUCAAGUGCAUACAAGAGUGUCGGUCUUCACAGAAUCUUUGUCAAAGUUAACAGUUGCGUAAGGAUUAAGAAAGCUACGUCAAGCUUUCUGGGUUUUUUUUUACGACGUGUUUUGAUUUAAAACAGUGCCGUGAUGCGCUGAUCGUUAUUGACCACACGGCGGCGCCAAAAAGCCAUAUUGAUGGUAAUGGGCCUGAACUGCUUUGAUAGAAAUUCUUGAGUUAAUGCUGGUUUUUAAAAAUAAUACUUAUUUUAAUUGUCAUGUCAAAUUACACCAUUUCGGGUUGUAUUAUGACCACAAGAUUACUCUUAUUGUGUUAGUAAAAUGUUCUUUAGUUAUGAGUUUGAAUGAGUGUUUCUUUGGGAUGGGCCUGCUUUAAACCUGUACUUGUACUUGAAUCUUGUGCUUUUAAUACAGUAUGCACUUUUGCUUUAGACUUACACUUUAUACAUGAUUUGGGCCCUGAUCAUAAAAGAAGAAAUAGCUGA
Molecule: long non-coding RNA, 1035 nt
Organism: Phyllopteryx taeniolatus (common seadragon)
Lineage: Eukaryota; Metazoa; Chordata; Actinopteri; Syngnathiformes; Syngnathidae
Exons: 2
Source: RefSeq, a predicted model, not a curated record